UCCUGCUUAGCUCAGUUGGUGGAGCGUUCCACUGGAAAUGGAGAGGUCUCAGGUUCGAUACCAGGACCAGGCG
This is a non-coding RNA of Ixodes scapularis (black-legged tick), 73 nucleotides long. NCBI's taxonomy places the organism in Eukaryota, Metazoa, Arthropoda, Arachnida, Ixodida, Ixodidae. The record is from Rfam.